Molecule: ribosomal RNA, 447 nt
Filed under: uncultured bacterium
Lineage: Bacteria
Description: SSU rRNA
Rfam family: Bacterial small subunit ribosomal RNA
Source: RNAcentral
AGAACGAACGCUGGCGGCAGGCCUCAAACAUGCAAGUCUAGGGGGUGUAGCAAUACAUCACCGGCGGACGGGUGCGUAACACGUGGGAAUAUACCUUUUGGUUCGGAACAACGCAGGGAAACUUGCGCUAAUACCGAAUGUGCCCUUACGGGGAAAGAUUUAUCGCCAAAGGAUUAGCCCGCGUAGGAUUAGCUAGUUGGUGAGGUAAUGGCUCACCAAGGCUCCGAUCCUUAGCUGUUCUGAGAGGAAGAUCAGCCACACUGGGACUGAGACACGGCCCAGACUCCUACGGGAGGCAGCAGUUGGGAAUCUUGGACAAUGGGGGAAACCCUGAUCCAGCCAUGCCGCGUGAGUGAUGAAGGCCUUCGGGUUGUAAAACUCUUUUAGCGGGGUACGAUGAUGACGGUACCGCAGAAUAAGCCCGGCUAACUUCGUGCCAGCAGCCGC